CAGGAGUACACUCCCAAUUCCAUCAACUGGAUCUACUGGAGACAGCUACCUUUGAAUUAUCAAUUAGAGAAAGACAUGUAAAGGACACAAUGAGAGGGCACUAUCUGCAAGAUGAGGAGAGAGAACCACCAGAUAUCAACCCCACUGGCAUCUUGACCUUGCACCUCCAGAAUUCAGAACUGACAGGCAAUGACUAUUUGUGGGUAAGACAGCACUGAGAAACAUCCUAGAACACUAGGGGUGAAGCUGAAACAUGCUCCUGCUACACCAUACGCCUACACCAUACAGAACAAGACAGAUUGCAUUGGAAAGGUAAGACCAGCUAUAUUCAGACUGCAUUGCCACUCCCCCAGACCAGCAUGGCACCAUGUGGAGAGAUCUCCUCUGAGCCUAUUGUUCCUCCAGUAGGGAAAGAGGGCAAGAGGGGCCAUCCAGC
This is a long non-coding RNA of Felis catus (domestic cat), 436 nucleotides long. RefSeq lists it as uncharacterized. The record is from RefSeq and is a predicted model, not a curated record. The transcript has 3 exons. NCBI's taxonomy places the organism in Eukaryota, Metazoa, Chordata, Mammalia, Carnivora, Felidae.